AACGAACGCUGGCGGCAGGCCUAAAACAUGCAAGUCGAACGGACGUAGCAAUACGUUAGUGGCGCACGGGAGAGUAACGCGUGGGAAACUAACUGUUGGUUCGGGAUAACAUCGGGAAACUGGUGCUAAUACAGGAUAAGCCCUUCGGGGGAAAGAUUUAUUGCCGAAAGAUGGGCCCGCGUUGGCUUCGAUACUUGGUGCGGUAAGGGCUCCCCAAGGCAACGGUCCAGAGCUGGUCUGAGAGGAUGACCAGCACCACUGGGACUGAGACACGGCCAAGACUCCUACUGGAGGCAGGAUUGGAGAAUAUAGGACAAUGGGGGAACCCCUGGUACAGCCAUGCCGGGCGAAUGAUGAAGGCCUUCGGGUUGUAAAGUUCUUUUGGUGGGGACGAUGAUUACGGUACCCACAGAAUAAGCGCCGGCUAACUUCGUGCCAGCCGCCGCCGUAA
Molecule: ribosomal RNA, 451 nt
Filed under: uncultured bacterium
Lineage: Bacteria
Description: partial 16S ribosomal RNA
Rfam family: Bacterial small subunit ribosomal RNA
Source: RNAcentral